GUGGGGAAUCUUCCGCAAUGGACGAAAGUCUGACGGAGCGACGCCGCGUGAGUGAAGAAGGCCUUCGGGUCGUAAAGCUCUGUCAUCAGGGACGAACGGCCGGUGGAGUGGAAAGCCACCGGAUUGACGGUACCUGAGAAGGAAGCCACGGCUAACUACGUGCCAGCAGCCGCGGUAAUACGUAGGUGGCAAGCGUUGUCCGGAAUUAUUGGGCGUAAAGCGCGCGCAGGUGGGAUCUUAAGUCCAUUUUGAAAGUUCGGAGCUCAACUCCGUGAUGGGAUGGAAACUGGGAUUCUUGAGUACCGGAGAGGAAAGCGGAAUUCCCCGUGUAGCGGUGAAAUGCGUAGAUAUGGGGAGGAACACCAGUGGCGAAGGCGGGUUCCUGGCCCAUGACUGACGCUGAGGUGCGAAAGCCGGGGGAGCGAACGGGAUUAGAUACCCCGGUAGUCC
This 450-nucleotide ribosomal RNA is filed under the name uncultured bacterium. RNAcentral's name for it is "partial 16S ribosomal RNA". It matches the Rfam family "Bacterial small subunit ribosomal RNA", at positions 354 to 796 of the family's 1533-position model. The record is from RNAcentral.